This 29-nucleotide small RNA is filed under the name Bombyx mori (domestic silkworm). RNAcentral describes it as "ovarian small RNA-215". The record is from RNAcentral. Lineage: Eukaryota; Metazoa; Arthropoda; Insecta; Lepidoptera; Bombycidae.
UUUGUGUCGGAUGUUGUGUUUAACACAGU